Molecule: ribosomal RNA, 469 nt
Filed under: uncultured bacterium
Lineage: Bacteria
Description: bacterial SSU rRNA
Rfam family: Bacterial small subunit ribosomal RNA
Source: RNAcentral
UGCCAGACUCCUACGGGAGGCAGCAGUGAGGAAUAUUGGCCAAUGGACGCAAGUCUGAACCAGCCAAGUAGCGUGCAGGAUGACAGCCCUCCGGGUUGUAAACUGCUUUUAGUUGGGAAUAAAAGGGGGCUCGUGAGCCCCGUAUUGUAUGUACCAUCAGAAAAAGGACCGGCUAAUUCCGUGCCAGCAGCCGCGGUAAUACGGAAGGUCCGGGCGUUAUCCGGAUUUAUUGGGUUUAAAGGGAGCGUAGGCCGGCUUUUAAGUCAGCUGUGAAAGUCCGCGGCUCAACCGUGGAAUUGCAGUUGAAACUGGAGGCCUUGAGUGCACACAGGGAUGCCGGAAUUCAUGGUGUAGCGGUGAAAUGCUUAGAUAUCAUGAAGAACUCCGAUUGCGAAGGCAGCAUGCCGGCUCCACACUGACGCUGAGGCACGAAAGCGUGGGUAUCGAACAGGAUUAGAUACCCUGGUAU